AUACGUAGGGGGCGAGCGUUGUCCGGAAUUACUGGGCGUAAAGGGUGCGUAGGUGGCACUUUAAGUUGGAUGUGAAAUCCCCGUGCUUAACAUGGGAGCUGCAUCCAAUACUGGAGAGCUAGAGUGCAGGAGAGGUAAGCGGAAUUCCUAGUGUAGCGGUGAAAUGCGUAGAUAUUAGGAGGAACACCAGUGGCGAAGGCGGCUUACUGUACUGUAACUGACACUGAGGCACGAAAGCGUGGGGAGCAAACAGGAUUAGAUACCCUGGUAGUCCACGCUGUAAACGAUGAAUACUAGGUGUAGGGGGUAUCAACUCCCUCUGUGCCGCAGCAAACGCAAUAAGUAUUCCGCCUGGGGAGUACGGCCGCAAGGUUGAAACUCAAAUGAAUUGACGGGG
Molecule: ribosomal RNA, 397 nt
Filed under: uncultured bacterium
Lineage: Bacteria
Description: partial 16S ribosomal RNA
Rfam family: Bacterial small subunit ribosomal RNA
Source: RNAcentral